CUCCUGACCUCAGGUCAUCUGCUCACCUCCUCCCAAAGUGCUGGGAUUACAGGCAUGAGUCACCCAGCCCGGCCUGCAGGAGUUCUUAACACCUGUGCAGAGAAGUCUGAGCACCUUGCAACUGAGCAGCAGAUGUGUCUCAUGAAGGGAAGGCAGUUUUAGCUAUGGAGCAAAUGCUGAGUGCCAAGCUGGAGGAGGUGGGACAAGAAGAAGGUGAGAAUGGAAGGAUCACGGAAGUCUGUUUCUCAGAAGACCUGGAUUCAAGUCUAAGUUCUCCAUAUUUAUUAGCUUUGCAGCCUUGGGCAAAUCAUUAAGGCUCUGAGCUGUUUGCUCCUUUGUGGAAUGAGGGAGAUAAUGAUAGUGGCUGUUUGUUGAGGGCUCUCUGCAAAUUACAAAUUACAUGCCGCAGUUAGCGUGUACUAAACAUUAUGCUCAAGGUAAUUCCCGUAAAAGACUGAACCCAGUGCCAGAAACACGGUCAAUGUACAAUAAAUGCCGGCUGCUAUUAUUUUGUUGAUCCUCAUAACAAUCCCCUGCUUCAUAAUGACCACAGAAAUAAUAAUAGUUACUAGCAUUUACAGAGCACUUUCUAUGCAGCCAGCCAUUGUUUUCAGGGCUCUAGGUGAAUUAACUUAUUUAAUUUCCCAGCUAUCCCCUGAGGUUCAUUCUAUUUUUAACCCCAUUUGAUGUGUGAGAAAAUUGAAGCACAAUUAAGUUAAAUGCGUUGCCCAAGACUCACGGCUAGAAAUUGACAAACAGCUGGAAAGCAGAGGAGAUAUUCUUAUUGCUGCCCAUUUCACAAGGAUGGUAACUAAGGCACAGAGAGGCUGAGCAGCGUGCCCAGGGUCAGGGUCGGGAGAACUCUCCUCUGGGUUGCUGGGCAGAUGAAAUGACAUAAUGGAUGGGAAAUGGCUUUGUGAACUGUCCUUCCGUUUGUGUUUAGCCGGCAGUAAGAUUUGCAUGUUCUGUUUUUUCUGGUCUAGUUGCAUCCACUCGUCUGAGACCCAGGGGGCUUUAGAAGGACCUGCCUGGACUUGGCUUAUCAUUGGAUGGGUGCUUUGUGUAUAGGGUCCUGGACUUAUAUCCCCUUGGGACAGCCUAGGAGCUGUGGCUUGUCUGACUUCAAAGCCGUUGCCAGCUGGGAGGCUUUGAGAGGAGCCAGCUGGCAGCUGGCCACCAUCAUGUGCAGCUGAGGUUACCAGCGGCCACCCUCCCACCUUCCUCCAGCCACACUCACCGUCUCCAGUGGCUGAUUCUCAGACACUCCCAGGACAGCAGGCAGCCAUGCUGGGGGAAGAGCAGCUCAAGGCCCCUAGUGGAGUGGAGCUAAUCAGGGUACAAGGAAACCUCUUUUUGCUCCCUUCCCCAUUAUGCUUCUGGCAAACCCCUCUCCCACAGGGCUCUUCAGGCAUGACACCCUAGAAAUCCCUGGGCAAAUGUCUGUACAAGAAUUAUUUUCUUAUGAUGAUCUGUGAUCUGGUGUAACAUGAAAUUUCUCCAAUUAAAAUGACUUUGACUCUCAA
Sapajus apella (tufted capuchin) is the source of this 1523-nucleotide long non-coding RNA. RefSeq lists it as uncharacterized. Lineage: Eukaryota; Metazoa; Chordata; Mammalia; Primates; Cebidae. The record is from RefSeq and is a predicted model, not a curated record. The transcript has 2 exons.